CGGGAAGUAGCUCAGCUUGGUAGAGCACAUGGUUUGGGUCCAUGGGGUCGCAGGUUCGAAUCCUGUCUUCCCGA
RNAcentral lists this transfer RNA (74 nucleotides) under Virgibacillus necropolis. It matches the Rfam family "tRNA". Rfam says of the family: Transfer RNA (tRNA) molecules are approximately 80 nucleotides in length. Their secondary structure includes four short double-helical elements and three loops (D, anti-codon, and T loops). Further hydrogen bonds mediate the characteristic L-shaped molecular structure. tRNAs have two regions of fundamental functional importance: the anti-codon, which is responsible for specific mRNA codon recognition, and the 3' end, to which the tRNAs corresponding amino acid is attached (by aminoacyl-tRNA synthetases). tRNAs cope with the degeneracy of the genetic code in two manners: having more than one tRNA (with a specific anti-codon) for a particular amino acid; and 'wobble' base-pairing, i.e. permitting non-standard base-pairing at the 3rd anti-codon position. The record is from Rfam by way of RNAcentral. Lineage: Bacteria; Bacillati; Bacillota; Bacilli; Caryophanales; Bacillaceae.